UGCAAGUCCGAACGAUGAAGCCCAGCUUGCUGGGUGGAUUAGUGGCGAACGGGUGAGUAACACGUGAGUAACCUGCCCUUAACUCUGGGAUAAGCCUGGGAAACUGGGUCUAAUACCGGAUAGGAGCGUCCACCGCAUGGUGGGUGUUGGAAAGAUUUAUCGGUUUUGGAUGGACUCGCGGCCUAUCAGCUUGUUGGUGAGGUAAUGGCUCACCAAGGCGACGACGGGUAGCCGGCCUGAGAGGGUGACCGGCCACACUGGGACUGAGACACGGCCCAGACUCCUACGGGAGGCAGCAGUGGGGAAUAUUGCACAAUGGGCGCAAGCCUGAUGCAGCGACGCCGCGUGAGGGAUGACGGCCUUCGGGUUGUAAACCUCUUUCAGUAGGGAAGAAGCGAAAGUGACGGUACCUGCAGAAGAAGCACCGGCUAACUACGUGCCAGCAGCCGCGGUAAUACGUAGGGUGCGAGCGUUAUCCGGAAUUAUUGGGCGUAAAGAGCUCGUAGGCGGUUUGUCGCGUCUGUCGUGAAAGUCCGGGGCUUAACCCCGGAUCUGCGGUGGGUACGGGCAGACUAGAGUGCAGUAGGGGAGACUGGAAUUCCUGGUGUAGCGGUGGAAUGCGCAGAUAUCAGGAGGAACACCGAUGGCGAAGGCAGGUCUCUGGGCUGUAACUGACGCUGAAGAGCGAAAGCAUGGGGAGCGAACAGGAUUAGAUACCCUGGUAGUCCAUGCCGUAAACGUUGG
Molecule: ribosomal RNA, 744 nt
Filed under: Micrococcus sp.
Lineage: Bacteria; Bacillati; Actinomycetota; Actinomycetes; Micrococcales; Micrococcaceae
Description: bacterial SSU rRNA
Rfam family: Bacterial small subunit ribosomal RNA
Source: RNAcentral